AUUGAACGCUGGCGGCAUGCUUUACACAUGCAAGUCGAACGGUAACAGGCCGCAAGGUGCUGACGAGUGGCGAACGGGUGAGUAAUGCAUCGGAACGUGCCCAGUCGUGGGGGAUAACGCAGCGAAAGCUGCGCUAAUACCGCAUACGAACUAAGGAUGAAUGCGGGGGACCGUAAGGCCCAGCGCGAUUGGAGCGGCCGAUGUCAGAUUAGGUAGUUGGUGAGGUAAAGGCUCACCAAGCCAACGAUCUGUAGCUGGUCUGAGAGGACGACCAGCCACACUGGGACUGAGACACGGCCCAGACUCCUACGGGAGGCAGCAGUGGGGAAUUUUGGACAAUGGGCGCAAGCCUGAUCCAGCAAUGCCGCGUGCAGGAAGAAGGCCUUCGGGUUGUAAACUGCUUUUGUACGGAACGAAACGGUCCGGGUUAAUACCCUGGGCUAAUGACGGUACCGUAAGAAUAAGCACCGGCUAACUACGUGCCAGCAGCCGCCGUAA
RNAcentral lists this ribosomal RNA (498 nucleotides) under uncultured bacterium. RNAcentral describes it as "partial 16S ribosomal RNA". It matches the Rfam family "Bacterial small subunit ribosomal RNA", at positions 29 to 523 of the family's 1533-position model. The record is from RNAcentral.